GUUUCCUUCGGGAAACCAUUAGCUUAGCGGCGGAAGGGGGAGUAAUACGUAGGUAACCUGCCCUUAARACCGGGAUAACUCACGGUAACGUGGGCUAAUACCGGAUAGUCGAUUUCCUCSCAUGAGGGAAUCGGGAAAGGGGGAGCAAUCUGCCMCUUAUGGAUGGACCUACGGSGCAUUAGCUAGUUGGGGGGGUAACGGCUCACCAAGGCGACGAUGCGUAGCCGACCUGARAGGGKGAUCGGCCMCMCUGGGACUGAAACACGGCCCAAACUCCUACGGGCGGCAGCAGUAGGGAAUCUUCCGCAAUGGACGCAAGUCUGACGGARCAACCCCCCGUGAGUGAUGAAGGUUUUCGGAUCGUAAAGCUCUGUUGCCAGGGAAAAACGCUWUGGAAAGUAACUGUUCCAUAGGUGACGGUACCUGAAAAAAAAGCCCCGGCUAACUACGUGCCAGCAGCCGCGGUAAUACGUAGGGGGCAAGCGUUGUCCGGAAUUAUUGGGCGUAAAGCGCGCGCAGGCGGUCAUGUAAGUCUGGKGUUUAAACCCGGGGCUCAACUCCGGGUCGCAUCGGAAACUGUGUGACUUGAGUGCAAAAAAGGAAAGUGGAAUUCCACGUGUAGCGGUGAAAUGCGUAAAGAUGUGGAGGAACMCCAGUGGCGAAGGCGACUUUCUGGGCUGUAACUGACGCUGAGGCCCGAAAGCGUGGGGAGCAAACAGGAUUA
This 724-nucleotide ribosomal RNA is filed under the name Caryophanales bacterium. RNAcentral describes it as "Bacillales bacterium partial 16S ribosomal RNA". It matches the Rfam family "Bacterial small subunit ribosomal RNA", at positions 73 to 780 of the family's 1533-position model. Lineage: Bacteria; Bacillati; Bacillota; Bacilli; Caryophanales. The record is from RNAcentral.